Molecule: ribosomal RNA, 654 nt
Filed under: uncultured Bacteroidales bacterium
Lineage: Bacteria; Pseudomonadati; Bacteroidota; Bacteroidia; Bacteroidales
Description: bacterial SSU rRNA
Rfam family: Bacterial small subunit ribosomal RNA
Source: RNAcentral
GUCUUAGCUUGCUAAGGCUGAUGGCGACCGGCGCACGGGUGAGUAACACGUAUCCAACCUGCCGUCUACUCUUGGCCAGCCUUCUGAAAGGAAGAUUAAUCCAGGAUGGCGUCAUGAGUUCACAUGUCCGCAUGAUUAAAGGUAUUUUCCGGUAGACGAUGGGGAUGCGUUCCAUUAGAUAGUAGGCGGGGUAACGGCCCACCUAGUCAACGAUGGAUAGGGGUUCUGAGAGGAAGGUCCCCCACAUUGGAACUGAGACACGGUCCAAACUCCUACGGGAGGCAGCAGUGAGGAAUAUUGGUCAAUGGGCGAUGGCCUGAACCAGCCAAGUAGCGUGAAGGAUGACUGCCCUAUGGGUUGUAAACUUCUUUUAUAAAGGAAUAAAGUCGGGUAUGCAUACCCGUUUGCAUGUACUUUAUGAAUAAGGAUCGGCUAACUCCGUGCCAGCAGCCGCGGUAAUACGGAGGAUCCGAGCGUUAUCCGGAUUUAUUGGGUUUAAAGGGAGCGUAGAUGGAUGUUUAAGUCAGUUGUGAAAGUUUGCGGCUCAACCGUAAAAUUGCAGUUGAUACUGGAUGUCUUGAGUGCAGUUGAGGCAGGCGGAAUUCGUGGUGUAGCGGUGAAAUGCUUAGAUAUCACGAAGAACUCCGAUUGCGA